Molecule: ribosomal RNA, 166 nt
Filed under: uncultured bacterium
Lineage: Bacteria
Description: partial 16S rRNA
Rfam family: Bacterial small subunit ribosomal RNA
Source: RNAcentral
UAGGGAAUCUUCGGCAAUGGGAGCAACCCUGACCGAGCAACGCCGCGUGAGUGAAGAAGGUUUUUCGGAUCGUAAAGCUCUGUUGUAAGAGAAGAACGUGUGUGAGAGUGGAAAGUUCACACAGUGACGGUAACUUACCAGAAAGGGACGGCUAACUACGUGCCAG